This is a long non-coding RNA of Oncorhynchus gorbuscha (pink salmon), 764 nucleotides long. RefSeq lists it as uncharacterized. NCBI's taxonomy places the organism in Eukaryota, Metazoa, Chordata, Actinopteri, Salmoniformes, Salmonidae. The transcript is spliced from 3 exons. The record is from RefSeq and is a predicted model, not a curated record.
ACAAGCCAGUAAAAUGUACAGCGUUCAAAUCACUUCCAGUGACCAUGUCCCGGACUCUGACCCACCUGAACAGGUCGUAGCCUGCAGCUUUAGCAGAGCCCCGGGUAGGAGCAGUGGCAUGUUCAGACAACUUGGAGAACUUCAGCACGGAUAUCACAUUCUCUGCAUGUGGCUUUGUCCUCUUCAGUGGAGAAACUUCUGCGGCGUCUAUCACUUCUGAGCAAGGCAUGUUCACAAAGUUUGUGGUAAGAAAGUUGAGUUAAUUCCGAAAUAAUAAAAUUGCUAUGGUUAGUUUACUAACGUUAGCUAAAUAGUUCAAAUAUGGCGAGUUGUUGCUCCUUCUCUGAAUCUUAUUCGGAAGCACACAUUCCCGCCAAUUUCAAUUGAAUCUGCCUCCCCGUAGUUGAAAAAAAGAAAAUCUCGCGAGAGUUCUGACAUCUUGACCAGCUGUGAGCUGAAUGACAGGAAAGCUUUAGUUUACUAAUCCUUGAAUGAUGCAUCUUGAUUUCGGUAAAACACUCGACUACAAAUCUGACAACAGUACAAUUACCGAGUGGGAGAAUGCAGAUAAAAUGUUCUGUGUGAGAGUACUGAAGACUGGGCAGCGAUAAUCGAAGAACACCGCCAGUAGAGCCUCUGCUUUGCAAAGAAGUGGUCCAUCUUGUUAAAGAUACAGUCCUCCCCGGCUGCGGCAUCCGCUACAGCGCCUUCAGAAAGAAUCUCCAAAUACUAUGUUGAAUGAGCACCGCGGAUGAGAGGGGAGG